This is a non-coding RNA of Cinara cedri, 721 nucleotides long. Lineage: Eukaryota; Metazoa; Arthropoda; Insecta; Hemiptera; Aphididae. The record is from the annotation of a GenBank genome assembly.
CCACGGAUUUUUUUUAAUAACAGGUUUUCUCGACGCAGUUUGGUCAAAUUUAUUAAAAUCAACUGACGAGUUUUCGCCGGGUAGCCACUAUAGCCGAUAUAAUAUCAUCAUGGCACAACUGCAAUUUUCAUGAAAUUUACCAAACACACAAAGUAAAUACUAAAAAGUAUUUAAAUAAUAGGACAUUAGGCUCAUGAAAUCUAAUGGGGAGGUAACACGGCUUUGAGAACGGUGAGAAAAAAAAAUAUCGGUAAAAUGGCUCGCAUCUACCAGGUGAAUUUAGCGAGCUCACAUCUCUUUUUGCACUAUCCGUCCGGACCAAUAUAAUUUAUAGUGAUAUCUCGACGCAGGUACUACAUACAAUAAUAAUAAUAAUAAUGUAUACGAAUGAUGGAAGUGCGCAAUAAAAAGACAAAUCACGUCAUAAUACUAUACUUAUAUAUAUAUAUAUACACCGCGUGCGCGUGGAGUGGAUAGAAAUAAUCGCGGAGUGGUGUUUGACGAACAUAAUAUUUCCCCCGUGUUUUAGUAUACGUAUAGGUGUACUUCGCAAAACGUGCGAAACACCCGGCCUGUAACGGAUUACAAAUGCGAACAAAUAAAAUACGUAAAAACCGAGCAAACGUAAAAUAAAAAAUAUCGCAGCCGCUGUUGGGUCGCGUGUGAAUAAAUCCGCGCGACAAAAUAUUAUAUUAUAAAAACGAGUGCUACAAUCGAUUUU